AUUGAACGCUGGCGGCAUGCUUUACACAUGCGAGUCGAACGGUAACAGGCCGCCAGGUGCUGACGAGUGGCGAACGGGUGAGUAAUGCAUCGGAACGUGCCCAGUCGUGGGGGAUAACUACUCGAAAGAGUAGCUAAUACCGCAUACGAUCUAUGGAUGAAAGCGGGGGACCGUAAGGCCUCGCGCGAUUGGAGCGGCCGAUGUCAGAUUAGGUAGUUGGUGGGGUAAAGGCUCACCAAGCCAACGAUCUGUAGCUGGUCUGAGAGGACGACCAGCCACACUGGGACUGAGACACGGCCCAGACUCCUACGGGAGGCAGCAGUGGGGAAUUUUGGACAAUGGGCGCAAGCCUGAUCCAGCAAUGCCGCGUGCAGGAAGAAGGCCUUCGGGUUGUAAACUGCUUUUGUACGGAACGAAACGGCUCUGGUUAAUACCCGGGGCUAAUGACGGUACCGUAAGAAUAAGCACCGGCUAACUACGUG
This 482-nucleotide ribosomal RNA is filed under the name uncultured bacterium. Its description in RNAcentral is "partial 16S ribosomal RNA". It matches the Rfam family "Bacterial small subunit ribosomal RNA", at positions 30 to 507 of the family's 1533-position model. The record is from RNAcentral.